RNAcentral lists this ribosomal RNA (329 nucleotides) under uncultured eukaryote. RNAcentral's name for it is "partial 18S ribosomal RNA". It matches the Rfam family "Eukaryotic small subunit ribosomal RNA", at positions 1470 to 1796 of the family's 1831-position model. The record is from RNAcentral.
CCCUUAGAUGUUCUGGGCCGCACGCGCGCUACACUGAUGCAUUCAACGAGUCUAAAACCUGGUCUGAUAGGGCUGGGUAAUCUUUUGAAUGUGCAUCGUGAUUGGGAUAGAUGAUUGCAAUUCUUCAUCUUCAACGAGGAAUGCCUAGUAAACGCAAGUCAUCAGCUUGCAUUGAUUACGUCCCUGCCCUUUGUACACACCGCCCGUCGCACCUACCGAUUGAAUGGUCCGGUGAAAUCUUCGGAUCUGAGAGAUGUUGGAUUAAUUUCUGACGCCUUUUGGAAAAGUUGCUUAAACCUUAUCAUUUAGAGGAAGGUGAAGUCGUAACA